AGGGUUUGAUCAUGGCUCAGGAUGAACGCUGGCGGCGUGCUUAACACAUGCAAGUCGAACGAACCUUCGGGUUAGUGGCGGACGGGUGAGUAACGCGUGAGAAUCUGCCCUCAGGAGGGGGAUAACGGUUGGAAACGACCGCUAAUACCCCAUAUGCCUACUGGUGAAACGAAUUUCGCCUGAGGAUGAGCUCGCGUCUGAUUAGCUAGUUGGUGAGGUAAUGGCUCACCAAGGCUUCGAUCAGUAGCUGGUCUGAGAGGAUGAUCAGCCACACUGGGACUGAGACACGGCCCAGACUCCUACGGGAGGCAGCAGUGGGGAAUUUUCCGCAAUGGGCGAAAGCCUGACGGAGCAACGCCGCGUGAGGGACGAAGGCCUCUGGGCUGUAAACCUCUUUUCUCAAGGAAGAAGAUAUGACGGUACUUGAGGAAUAAGCCACGGCUAAUUCCGUGCCAGCAGCCGCGGUAAUACGGGAGUGGCAAGCGUUAUCCGGAAUUAUUGGGCGUAAAGCGUCCGCAGGCGGCUUUUCAAGUCUGCUGUUAAAGCGUGGAGCUUAACUCCAUCAUGGCAGUGGAAACUGAAAGGCUUGAGUAUGGUAGGGGCAGAGGGAAUUCCCGGUGUAGCGGUGAAAUGCGUAGAUAUCGGGAAGAACACCAGUGGCGAAGGCGCUCUGCUGGGCCAUUACUGACGCUCAUGGACGAAAGCCAGGGGAGCGAAAGGGAUUAGAUACCCCUGUAGUCCUGGCCGUAAACGAUGAACACUAGGUGUCGGGGGAAUCGACCCCUUCGGUGUCGUAGCUAACGCGUUAAGUGUUCCGCCUGGGGAGUACGCACGCAAGUGUGAAACUCAAAGGAAUUGACGGGGGCCCGCACAAGCGGUGGAGUAUGUGGUUUAAUUCGAUGCAACGCGAAGAACCUUACCAGGGUUUGACAUCCUGCGAACCUCUUAGAAAUUUGAGGGUGCCUUCGGGAAUGCAGUGACAGGUGGUGCAUGGCUGUCGUCAGCUCGUGUCGUGAGAUGUUGGGUUAAGUCCCGCAACGAGCGCAACCCACGUUUUUAGUUGCCAGCAUUUAGUUGGGCACUCUAGAAAGACCGCCGGUGAUAAACCGGAGGAAGGUGUGGAUGACGUCAAGUCAUCAUGCCCCUUACACCCUGGGCUACACACGUACUACAAUGCUACGGACAAAGGGCAGCAAACUCGCGAGAGCUAGCAAAUCCCAUAAACCGUGGCUCAGUUCAGAUCGUAGGCUGCAACUCGCCUACGUGAAGUAGGAAUCGCUAGUAAUCGCAGGUCAGCAUACUGCGGUGAAUACGUUCCCGGGCCUUGUACACACCGCCCGUCACACCAUGGAAGUUGGCCAUGCCCGAAGUCGUUACUCCAACCCUUGUGGAGGAGGACGCCGAAGGUGGGGCUAAUGACUGGGGUGAAGUCAUAACAAGGUAGCCGUA
RNAcentral lists this ribosomal RNA (1449 nucleotides) under uncultured bacterium. RNAcentral describes it as "bacterial SSU rRNA". It matches the Rfam family "Bacterial small subunit ribosomal RNA". The record is from RNAcentral.